Molecule: transfer RNA, 72 nt
Filed under: Enterovibrio norvegicus DSM 15893
Lineage: Bacteria; Pseudomonadati; Pseudomonadota; Gammaproteobacteria; Vibrionales; Vibrionaceae
Also listed under: 1 other name
Description: tRNA_Gln_TTG
Rfam family: tRNA
About the family: Transfer RNA (tRNA) molecules are approximately 80 nucleotides in length. Their secondary structure includes four short double-helical elements and three loops (D, anti-codon, and T loops). Further hydrogen bonds mediate the characteristic L-shaped molecular structure. tRNAs have two regions of fundamental functional importance: the anti-codon, which is responsible for specific mRNA codon recognition, and the 3' end, to which the tRNAs corresponding amino acid is attached (by aminoacyl-tRNA synthetases). tRNAs cope with the degeneracy of the genetic code in two manners: having more than one tRNA (with a specific anti-codon) for a particular amino acid; and 'wobble' base-pairing, i.e. permitting non-standard base-pairing at the 3rd anti-codon position.
Source: RNAcentral
UGGGAUAUCGCCAAGCGGUAAGGCAGCGGCUUUUGAUGCCGCCAUUCCCUGGUUCGAAUCCAGGUAUCCCAG